This 253-nucleotide ribosomal RNA is filed under the name uncultured bacterium. RNAcentral describes it as "partial 16S ribosomal RNA". It matches the Rfam family "Bacterial small subunit ribosomal RNA", at positions 524 to 776 of the family's 1533-position model. The record is from RNAcentral.
UACGUAGGGUGCAAGCGUUGUCCGGAAUUAUUGGGCGUAAAGAGCUCGUAGGCGGUUCGUCGCGUCGGCUGUGAAAACCCGGAGCUCAACUCCGGGCCUGCAGUCGAUACGGGCGGACUUGAGUUCGGCAGGGGAGACUGGAAUUCCUGGUGUAGCGGUGAAAUGCGCAGAUAUCAGGAGGAACACCGAUGGCGAAGGCAGGUCUCUGGGCAUUAACUGACGCUGAGGAGCGAAAGCAUGGGGAGCGAACAGG